UAAUAGAUCAAAAUAUAAUAGAUCAAACUGCAAUAGAUCAAACUGUAAUAGAUCAAACAUUAAUAGAUCAAAAUAAUAAAAGUAAUAACAGUAGUAUUAGUAAUAAUAAUUCUCAUAAUUUAUAUGUAAAUAAUAAUGUAAAUAAUAAUGUAAAUAAUAAUGUAAAUAAUAAUGUAAAUGUUAAUGGUAGUAUUAAUGACACAAGUCAAAACUUAAAUAAUAUAGUUUUAUCAAAUUGUAACAACAUUAGUAACAGCAUUAAUAAUAAUAAUAAAAUGAUGAGUAAUACUACUACUAAUAAUAAUAUUGUAAGUACUAUAAUUAAUAAUAACGUGAGUGGUACCACUAAUCCUUCACAUGUAGGUACAACCACUGACAUCCUUACCGGUGCAAUAUCUCCCAAUAAUAAUACCCUUACCACAAUUAAUAACAAUAAUAAUAAUAGUAGCAAUAAUAACAAUAAUAAUAAUAGUAGUAAUAAUAAUAUUUAUAAUACGAUUCGUAAAAAUAAUAAUCAAGUGUAUAAUCAAAUAAUUUAUUAUAAUGGGAACAUAAAUAAUAAUAUUGGAAAUGCGAAUGUCGGUAAUAAUGUAUCCUCUUACCCUCUUCGUAAUAACAACAUAAGUAAUAAUAACAACAUAAGUACUAAUAACAACAUAAGUACUAAUAACAGUAUAUGUACUAAUAACAGUAUAAGUACUAAUAAUAAUAUAAAUACCCAUAAUAAUAUAAAUACCCAUAAUAAUAUAAAUACCCAUAACAAUAUAAAUACCCAUAACAAUAUAAAUACCCAUAAUAAUAUAAAUACCCAUAAUAAUAAUGUAAUAAACAAUUUGCAUAUUAAUAACAACAACACAUUAAACAAUAACAUUAAUUCUUUAAAUUUUAAUAUAACAAAUAAUAUGGGAAAUAAUAUAAAAACGAAAAAAGCAUUUAUAAAAAAUGUUAUUAUCGAUGAAAAUAUAUCCAAUCAUAAUAAUGUAAAUAGUAACAGUAGUAAUUCGUACCAUAACAUGUGUAAUACUAACCCAUACAAUAGUAACCCAUACAAUAGUAACCCAUACAACAGUAACCCAAAC
Molecule: long non-coding RNA, 1079 nt
Organism: Piliocolobus tephrosceles (Ugandan red Colobus)
Lineage: Eukaryota; Metazoa; Chordata; Mammalia; Primates; Cercopithecidae
Source: Ensembl